RNAcentral lists this ribosomal RNA (526 nucleotides) under uncultured bacterium. Its description in RNAcentral is "bacterial SSU rRNA". It matches the Rfam family "Bacterial small subunit ribosomal RNA", at positions 28 to 600 of the family's 1533-position model. The record is from RNAcentral.
AACGAACGCUGGCGGCAGGCCUAACACAUGCAAGUCGAGCGCUGUAGCAAUACAGAGCGGCGCACGGGUGAGUAACACGUGGGAACGUGCCCUUUGGUUCGGAAUAACCCAGGGAAACUUGGGCUAAUACCGGAUGAGCCCUAACGGGGGAAAGAUUUAUCGCCGAAGGAGCGGCCCGCGUCGGAUUAGCUAGUUGGUGGGGUAAAAGCCUACCAAGGCAACGAUCCGUAGCUGGUUUGAGAGAACGACCAGCCACACUGGGACUGAGACACGGCCCAGACUCCUACGGGAGGCAGCAGUGGGGAAUCUUGGACAAUGGGGGAAACCCUGAUCCAGCCAUGCCGCGUGAGUGAUGAAGGCCCUAGGGUUGUAAAACUCUUUCGGCGGGGACGAUAAUGACGGUACCCGCAGAAGAAGCUCCGGCUAACUUCGUGCCAGCAGCCGCGGUAAUACGAAGGGGCUAGCGUUGUUCGGAAUUACUGGGCGUAAAGCGCGCGCAGGCGGUUCUUCAAGUCAGAGGUGAAAG